Camelus ferus (Wild Bactrian camel) is the source of this 69-nucleotide transfer RNA. It matches the Rfam family "tRNA". From Rfam's summary of the family: Transfer RNA (tRNA) molecules are approximately 80 nucleotides in length. The record is from Rfam. NCBI's taxonomy places the organism in Eukaryota, Metazoa, Chordata, Mammalia, Artiodactyla, Camelidae.
GAGGGUAUAGCUCGGUAGAGCGUGUGCUUAGCAUGCACGAGGUCUUGGGUUCAAGCCCCAGUACUGCCA